UACGGGAGGCAGCAGUGGGGAAUAUUGCACAAUGGGCGCAAGCCUGAUGCAGCCAUGCCGCGUGUAUGAAAAAGGCCUUCGGGUUGUAAAGUACUUUCAGUCGUGAGGAAGGUGUUAAGGUUAAUAACCUUAGCAAUUGACGUUAGCGACAGAAGAAGCACCGGCUAACUCCGUGCCAGCAGCCGCGGUAAUACGGAGGGUGCGAGCGUUAAUCGGAAUUACUGGGCGUAAAGGGCACGCAGGCGGUUAAUUAAGUUGGAUGUGAAAUCCCCGGGCUUAACCUGGGAAUGGCAUUCAAGCUGGUUAGCUAGAGUCUUGUAGAGGGGGUAGAAUUCCAUGUGUAGCGGUGAAAUGCGUAGAGAUGUGGAGGAAUACCGGUGGCGAAGGCGGCCCCUGGACAAAGACUGACGCUCAUGUGCGAAAGCGUGGGGAGCAAAC
RNAcentral lists this ribosomal RNA (438 nucleotides) under uncultured bacterium. RNAcentral describes it as "bacterial SSU rRNA". It matches the Rfam family "Bacterial small subunit ribosomal RNA", at positions 340 to 773 of the family's 1533-position model. The record is from RNAcentral.